RNAcentral lists this ribosomal RNA (460 nucleotides) under uncultured bacterium. Its description in RNAcentral is "partial 16S ribosomal RNA". It matches the Rfam family "Bacterial small subunit ribosomal RNA", at positions 338 to 795 of the family's 1533-position model. The record is from RNAcentral.
CCUACGGGCGGCAGCAGUGAGGAAUAUUGGUCAAUGGGCGUAAGCCUGAACCAGCCAAGCCGCGUGAAGGAAGACGGCCCUACGAGUUGUAAACUUCUUUUAUAAAGGAGUAAACGCAGGUACGUGUGUCUUUUUGUAUGUACUGUAUGAAUAAGGAUCGGCUAACUCCGUGCCAGCAGCCGCGGUAAUACGGAGGAUUCGAGCGUUAUCCGGAUUUAUUGGGUUUAAAGGGUGCGUAGGUGGUCUGUUAAGUUAGUGGUGAAAGUCCGAGGCUCAACCUGAGAAUUGCAAUGGAUACUGGUCGGCUUGAGAGUAGUUGAGGUAGGCGGAAUGUGUGGUGUAGCGGUGAAAUGCUUAGAUAUCACGAAGAACACCGAUGGCGAAGGCAGCUUACUAAGCUGCUACUGACGUUGAGGCUCGAAAGCGUGGGGAGCAAACAGGAUUAGAUACCCGUGUAGUC